AUGCUUCCCCAUUUCCCCAUAAUCUUGCCAUCUCCUGCCAUUCUCCUUUCCUUAGCCUCUGUUCUCCAAGAAGCAUCUGAAAAAGACAUGUGUUACAAGAGGACCCCAGAGCUCCCCUACUGGAGACUACAGUUAUACUCAGGCCCUUCCUCUCUUCUUUCUCUCCAGGUAAUUGCAGGACCUGCACUCACAACACCUUUCCUCUAUUUUCUGCAUAGUCUCAUUUGCUUAGAGAUUUCUUUGUUUUUUCCUGUUUUCUCUCCAGUUUUCCUUGCAGGCUCUCCCAGGAUUCUGUUCACUGGUAUGCCAUUAGAAGGGACUGUCUCUGAUUAGCACUGAGUAGAGAAGUACUUGUGAUACAAUCUAAGGAAGUUGAAGCUUCCGCUAAGCGACACAGUUACCUAGUGACAUCUGCUUUUUACGGCUGCUGGAUAUUGCUGUGUGGGUAGCACCUCCUUGGCAGAGCUACCUGAAGAGAAGCAAGUGAUUCUGCACCCUUAGAGCAAAGAAGCUUCUUCAUAUCUUCUAAGAAAAAAGGAGGAGAAAAGGUAAAAUUCAUAAAAUGCAAUUGCUCAAACAUUUGUGUACCAUGUAUACUCAUUAUAUGUGUGAAUGUAAUGCUUUUUAAUUUACCCUUUAUAGCUGCUCAGGUGAUUAUUUUUAGGCAGUUUUAAAAAUUCUUGCAUCAUCAGAAGUGGGUGUAUUCUGUGAGCAUAUGUUUUUAAGUAUUCAAAUAUAUUAUGCUGAACCUGGAUUAGGUUCAGUUAUGUCUGGGUGCAGUUGCUACAAAGCUGUCAUUUCUACGCCAUUGGUGUCAAACAGUUCUGUCCUUGUGACCUGUAAAUCAGUUUAAAUUCCUGUCUGUGUAGAAUGGAACAGAACUGUAGGCUGGAAAAGGUGUCAUGCUUGGGACUUGACACAGCAGGUCUCAGAUUAAUGAUAGUCAAUGUUUUCUGGUAUGUGGCAGCAACACACAGGGUAAAGAUAAGUAAAGCAAAGAAACUCACUUCUCUUCUGCUUUCCAUUCAUAAAAGAAGACAAAGGGGAAAAACAUAGCUCAGGCUUGGAUUUCUGAUAUGUUAGGCUAAAAAAAUGUCACUUAUGAUG
Molecule: long non-coding RNA, 1107 nt
Filed under: Cyanistes caeruleus (blue tit)
Lineage: Eukaryota; Metazoa; Chordata; Aves; Passeriformes; Paridae
Description: lncRNA (ENSCCEG00000012718.1)
Source: RNAcentral